AUACUGACCUGGUGGGAGAGAUACUGUGAUCAUCAACGCAGUGUGCUCUCAGGGUAAAGCCCACUCAUUGCACUCUGGGUGGGUUAACCUUUGCUACUACUCCAAAUAUGGGGAAACUCGACCAUAUAAGUCGUGAUAGUGGAGGAUUGCAUUCGCACUAUCCCAUG
Molecule: small nuclear RNA, 167 nt
Filed under: Eptatretus burgeri (inshore hagfish)
Lineage: Eukaryota; Metazoa; Chordata; Myxini; Myxiniformes; Myxinidae
Description: U1 spliceosomal RNA (ENSEBUG00000000054.1)
Rfam family: U1 spliceosomal RNA
About the family: U1 is a small nuclear RNA (snRNA) component of the spliceosome (involved in pre-mRNA splicing).
Source: Rfam by way of RNAcentral